This is a non-coding RNA of Zootoca vivipara (common lizard), 501 nucleotides long. The record is from the annotation of a RefSeq genome assembly. Lineage: Eukaryota; Metazoa; Chordata; Lepidosauria; Squamata; Lacertidae.
AUGCCACCUGAGACUAAAGCAACAGCAAAGGAUCCAGAAGUACGAUACCCUCAAGCUGUUCACCUGCUCCUUCAGAGGGAAUGUCCAAAUCCUCUUUUUCCUGACUCACUGGGGCAGUUCUUUGUUAAUGCCAUGAAGUUCCUGCUGUUCUUGUUUUCUUUGGUGGCCUUUCAAAAAUGGGUCCAUUCCGAUGUUCAGCUUGUAUCUUCUGGGCCCAGAACAGUGAGACCUGGAGAGAACCUCCGUCUGCUCUGUAAAGUUACUGGUGUCUCCAUCACUGAUUCAAGUUAUGCUUGGAACUGGGUCCGUCAGCCUGCUGGGAAAGGUGUAGAGUGGGUUGCAGGAAUAUACCCCUAUGAUGGGAGAAAAUGGUUUGCUGCUUCUCUUCAGAGCCGUGUGACCAUUUCUUCAGACAACUCCAAGAACGAGUUCUCCCUCCAGCUGAACUCCCUGACAGCUGCAGACUCAGCCAUGUAUUUCUGUGCUCGAGAUACACAGUGA